RNAcentral lists this ribosomal RNA (457 nucleotides) under Vanadis formosa. RNAcentral's name for it is "partial 16S ribosomal RNA". It matches the Rfam family "Bacterial large subunit ribosomal RNA", at positions 1921 to 2598 of the family's 2925-position model. The record is from RNAcentral. Lineage: Eukaryota; Metazoa; Annelida; Polychaeta; Phyllodocida; Alciopidae.
UAUAUAACGGCCGCGGUAUUUUGACCGUGCAAAGGUAGCAUAAUAAUUUGCCUUUUAAUAGGAGGCUGGUAUGAAUGGAUAUAUGAAAUUAUAACUGUCUCUUAAUUAUAAUUAAAAAUUAUCAUUUAGGUGAAGAGACCUAAAUAUUAAUAAAAGACAAAAAGACCCUAUUGAUCUUUAUCUUUAUGAGAAUUUGUAGAUUAAUUUACUUUAUUACUUAAUAAAGAUUUAAUUGGGGCGAUUAAGAAAUAUAAAAAUCUUUCUAUAUAUUUUCGAAUAACAAUUCUAUUUAAUGAUCUAUAUUAUAAUAGAUGGAAAUAGUUACCAUAGGGAUAACAGGCUAAUUUUUUUGGAGAGUUCAUAUUGAUAAAAAAGUUUGGCACCUCGAUGUUGGCUUAGAAUAUCCUAUAGGUGUAGCAGUCUAUAAGGGUUGGUUUGUUCAACCAUUAAAAUUCUA